Molecule: ribosomal RNA, 510 nt
Filed under: uncultured bacterium
Lineage: Bacteria
Description: bacterial SSU rRNA
Rfam family: Bacterial small subunit ribosomal RNA
Source: RNAcentral
GAUUAUGGCUCAGGAUGAACGCUAGCGACAGGCUUAACACAUGCAAGUCGAGGGGCAGCAUAAAAGUAGCAAUACUUGGUGGCGACCGGCGCACGGGUGAGUAACGCGUAUGCAACCUACCUAUCAGAGGGGAAUAACCCGGCGAAAGUCGGACUAAUACCGCAUAAAACAGGGGCACCGCAUGGUGAUAUUUGUUAAAGAAAUUCGCUGAUAGAUGGGCAUGCGUUCCAUUAGGUAGUUGGUGAGGUAACGGCUCACCAAGCCGACGAUGGAUAGGGGAACUGAGAGGUUGGUCCCCCACACUGGUACUGAGACACGGACCAGACUCCUACGGGAGGCAGCAGUGAGGAAUAUUGGUCAAUGGGCGGGAGCCUGAACCAGCCAAGUCGCGUGAAGGAAGAAGGAUCUAUGGUUCGUAAACUUCUUUUGCAGGGGAAUAAAGUGCAGGACGUGUCCUGUUUUGUAUGUACCCUGAGAAUAAGGAUCGGCUAACUCCGUGCCAGCCGCAGC